Clupea harengus (Atlantic herring) is the source of this 2262-nucleotide long non-coding RNA. NCBI's taxonomy places the organism in Eukaryota, Metazoa, Chordata, Actinopteri, Clupeiformes, Clupeidae. The record is from Ensembl.
CAGCUGUUGGUAGAGGGCGCUUUGAGAGUUGCUAUAAUCAGGAUUGAAGAUUUGGAGCAGCACAACGCGUAUUCCGAUCAUGUAACGUGGACGGUUUGUUGCAGCUGUUGUUGUUGUAGUUGUUGUUGUUGUGGGUUUUGUUGUGGUGGUUGUUGUGGGGGCUGUUGUGGUAGUUGCCGCAGCUGUUGUGGUAGUUGCAGCAGCUGUUGUAGGGGCUUUUGUGGUAGUGGUGGUAGCUGUUGUGGGUGCUGUUGUGGCUGUCGUUGUAGUUACACCAACUGUUGUGGUAGCUGUUGUGGUAGUGGUGGGAGCUGUUGUGGUAGUUGCUGCAGCUGUUGUGGCUGUCGUUGUAGUUGCAGCAACUGUUGUGGUAGCUGUUGUGGUAGUGGUGGGAGCUGUUGUGGUAGUUGCAGCAGCUGUUGUGGGGGCGUUUGUGGUAGUGGUGGGAGCUGUUGUGGUAGUUGCUGCAGCUGUUGUGGUGGUUGCAGCAGCUGUUGUGGUAGUUGCUGGAGCUGUUGUGGUAGUUGUAGUUGCUGUUGUGGGGGCCAUUGUGGGUGCUGUUGUGGUAGUGGUGGUAGCUGUUGUGGUAAGUGCUGCAGCUGUUAUGGGGGCUGUUGUGGUGGAUGCAGCAGCUGUUGUUGUUGUAGUCGCUGUUGUUGCUGUUGUGGGUGCUGUUAUGGGAGCUGUGGUAGUUGCAGCAGCUGUUGUGGUAGUUUUUGGAGCUGUUGUGGGUGCUGUUGUGGUAGUGGUGGGAGCUGCUGUGGGUGCUGUUGUGGUAGUUGCUGCAGCUGUUGUGGUAGUUGCAGCAGCAGUUGUGGUGGUGGUUGCAGCAGCUGUUGUGGUAGUUGCAGCAGCUGUUGUGGUGGUUGCAGCAGCUGCUGUGGUAGUUGCAGCAGCUGUUGUGGUGGUUGCUGGAGCGUUUGUGGUGGUUGCAGCAGCUGUUGUGGUAGUUGGAGCAGCUGUUGUGCUAGUUUCUGGAGCUGUUGUGGGUGCUGUUGUGGUGGUUGCAGCAGCUGUUGUGGUAGUUUCUGGAGCUGUUGUGGUGGUUGCUGAAGCUGUUGUGGUGGUUGCAGCAGCUGUUGUGGUAGUUGGAGCAGCUGUUGUGGUAGUUGCAGCAGCUGUUGUGGUAGUUUCUGAAGCUGUUGUGGGUGCUGUUGUGGUAGUGGUGGGUGCUGUUGUGGUAGUUGCUGCAGCUGUUGUGGUGGUUGCAGCAGCUGUUGUGGUAGUUGCUGGAGCUGUUGUGGUAGUUGUAGUUGCUGUUGUGGGGGCCAUUGUGGGUGUUGUUGUGGUAGUGGUGGUAGCUGUUGUGGUAAGUGCUGCAGCUGUUAUGGGGGCUGUUGUGGUGGUUGCAUUAGCUGUGGUUGUUGUAGUCGCUGUAGUUGCUGUUGUGGGUGCUGUUAUGGGAGCUGUGGUACUUGCAGCAGCUGUUGUGGUAGUUUCUGGAGCUGUUGUGGGUGCUGUUGUGGUAGUGGUGGGAGCUGCUGUGGCAGCUGUUGUGGUAGUUUCUGGAGCUGUUGUGGUAGUUGCAGCAGCUGUUGUGGUGGUUGCAGCAGCUGCUGUGGUAGUUGCAGCAGCUGUUGUGGUUGCUGGAGCUGUUGUGGUGGUUGCAGCAGCUGUUGUGGUAGUUGGAGCAGCUGUUGUGGUAGUUGCAUCAGCUGUUGUGGUAGUUUCUGGAGCUGUUGUGGUGGUUGCAGCAGCUGUUGUGGUAGUUUCUGGAGCUGUUGUGGUUGUUGCUGGAGCUGUUGUGGUGGUUGCAGCAGCUGUUGUGGUAGUUGGAGCAGCUGUUGUGGUAGUUGCAGCAGCUGUUGUGGUAGUUAUUGUUGCUGUCGUGGGAGCCAUUGUGGGUGCUGUUGUGGUAGUGGUGGUUGCUGUUGUGGUAAUUAAUGCAGCUGUUAUGGGGGCUGUUGUGGUGGUUGCAGCAGCUGUGGUUGUUGUAGUCGCUGUAGUUGCUGUUGUGGGUGCUGUGGUGGUAGUUGUAGUUGCUGUUAUGGGGGCCGUUGUAGUAGUUGUAGUUGCUGUUGUGGGGGCUGUUGUGGUAGUUGUAGUUGCUGUUAUGGGGGCCGUUGUAGUAGUUGUAGUUGCUGUUGUGGGUUCCACUGAAGUUGUUGUUGUGAUCUCUGAGGAAUCAAGGGGGUCAUUUCAGUAAAUCUGUGCUGACAAUGCCCUCCUUUAAACAAACACAUGGUUGAAUACAGGUAUGGAAAUAAUUGCUUGCUUACCUUCAAAUAUUCCUGAACCUUCCUCUAUGAUUUCCCGUCGGGC